AUGAGGCCGAUGCAUCUCUUGGGGGUCACUUGCCUAUGGAUCCUCUCAUGCGCCUUGCUGCUCGGCGGCGCUUGCUCCGAUGGGUUGCUGAGGAUCAACCUGAGCAAGAAGAGGCUGAACAAGGAAACCCUAACAGCCGCGAAAUCGGCGAGGCAGGAGACCAACCUGCUGAGGCCCGGCGAUGGAUCUCGCCACUCUCUCGGCCUGUCAGACGAUGACAUAGUUCCUCUGGACAACUUCCUUGACACCGAGUACUUCGGAGAGAUCGGCGUCGGCACGCCGCCGCAGAACUUCACGGUCAUAUUUGACACCGGGAGCUCAAACUUGUGGGUUCCGUCGUCGAAAUGCUACUUUUCGAUAGCAUGCUACUUGCACCACAAAUACAAGUCAACCAAGUCGACCACUUACAAGAAGAACGGAGAAACUUGCACAAUUAGCUAUGGCUCUGGGUCAAUUGCUGGCUUCUUCAGUGAGGACAGUGUGUUAGUUGGCGAGCUUGUUGUGAAAAAUCAGAAAUUCAUCGAGACAACCCGUGAAGCAAGUCCUACUUUUAUCAUUGGGAAGUUUGAUGGUAUACUUGGGCUCGGAUUUCCGGAGAUCUCUGUGGGAAGUGCCCCUCCAAUUUGGCAGAGCAUGCAAGAGCAGAAGCUGAUAGAGAAGGACAUCUUCUCCUUCUGGCUUAACCGUGAUCCAGAUGCAUCUGCGGGAGGUGAACUCGUGUUCGGGGGUGUGGACAAAAAGCACUACAAGGGGAAACACACAUAUGUUCCGGUCACUCGCAAAGGCUACUGGCAGUUUGACAUGGGUGAUCUUCUCAUUGGUGGCGAUUCAACUGGCUUCUGUGCCGGUGGUUGCGCUGCAAUUGUCGACUCAGGGACCUCACUGCUCGCUGGCCCAACGACCAUAGUGGCUCAAGUCAAUCAUGCAAUUGGUGCUGAGGGGAUUAUCAGUACGGAAUGCAAGGAAGUAGUGAGAGAGUAUGGAGAGAUGAUCCUGGAGCUGCUUGUAGCACAGACAAGGCCACAGAAAGUGUGCAGUCAGAUUGGUCUCUGUGUAUUUGAUGGUAGUCACUCUGUCAGUAACCAAAUUGAAUCUGUUGUUGAUAAGAAAGCGAAGCGAGGCUCUGAUCUUCUCUGCACCGCUUGUGAGAUGACUGUUGUCUGGAUACAGAAUCAGCUCCGAAAAAAACAAACGAAAGAGCUCAUCUUGGAUUAUGCGAAUCAGCUCUGUGAGCGUCUCCCGAGCCCCAACGGAGAAUCAACCGUCGACUGCCACCAGAUCUCAGAGAUGCCUGAUCUUGCUUUCACCAUAGCAAACAAGACUUUCACCUUGACGCCAGAGCAGUACGUAGUGAAGCUGGAGCAAUCAGGCCAGACCAUUUGCAUCAGUGGGUUCAUGGCGUUUAACGUGCCGCCCCCUCGCGGCCCGCUCUGGAUACUUGGAGACGUCUUCAUGGGCGCCUAUCACACCGUUUUCGACUUCGGUGAGAGCAGGAUUGGGUUCGCCAAAUCCGCGUGA
RNAcentral lists this ribosomal RNA (1518 nucleotides) under Triticum aestivum (bread wheat). RNAcentral describes it as "partial small subunit ribosomal RNA". The record is from RNAcentral. Lineage: Eukaryota; Viridiplantae; Streptophyta; Magnoliopsida; Poales; Poaceae.